UUUUCUUUGACCCUGAAAAGUUGGCCCAUCAAAUCAGGCGCUGGUUCCUUCUCCACGGCCGAUUCCGCCGGCGGCGCUGCUUCCCCAUGGCGGUCGGUUGCGCCCUUUUCUCCUUCCCCAUGGUAGGCUUGCUGCCUCUUGCCCUUCUCCACAGCAGGCCUCCCCCUCUUCACCUUCUCCAUCAUCAAUUAAAUCCAACCGAAACGGAUCUACUUACCUCUCCUUGCACAGGUAACUGAACCAGUUCCUCUCACCAUAAAUCAAUGGAGCCGCUCGAGAGAUCAGCCAUGCCCACCGCCUGUUGGUGCCCUGCAAGUUGGCGGGGAACAUCUGCACCCUCAACGCCACAUCCCCUGUCCACACGUGCUUCCUCCAUCCUCAUUCUGCC
Molecule: long non-coding RNA, 388 nt
Filed under: Hordeum vulgare
Lineage: Eukaryota; Viridiplantae; Streptophyta; Magnoliopsida; Poales; Poaceae
Description: long non-coding RNA (HVUL_LNC000493)
Source: RNAcentral